Molecule: ribosomal RNA, 276 nt
Filed under: uncultured bacterium
Lineage: Bacteria
Description: partial 16S ribosomal RNA
Rfam family: Bacterial small subunit ribosomal RNA
Source: RNAcentral
AACGAACGCUGGCGGCAUGCCUAACACAUGCAAGUCGAACGAAGGCUUCGGCCUUAGUGGCGCACGGGUGAGUAACACGUGGGAACCUGCCUUUCGGUUCGGAAUAACGUCUGGAAACGGACGCUAACACCGGAUACGCCCUUUGGGGGAAAGUUCACGCCGAGAGAGGGGCCCGCGUCGGAUUAGGUAGUUGGUGUGGUAACGGCGCACCAAGCCGACGAUCCGUAGCUGGUCUGAGAGGAUGACCAGCCACACUGGGACUGAGACACGGCCCAG